GUUUGGGGAGAUAACUCCUACAAAGAAAAGUAUUCGUUUACGCAGGGUAAAUUUCAAAAGCGCAUAAACUGUUCGAUAUCAUAUACCAAAUAUCUAAGCGACAUAUUGCGAAACAAAUGUUUAUCGCAAGAACAAAAUUAGGCGGAAGAAAAAAAAAAAAAAAAAAAUAAUCAGAAGAAAAACAAUAGGUCUUUCCACAGAAAAGUGGAAAGACCUAAUAAAUAUUGAUAGAAAAUAUAAGCA
This 243-nucleotide long non-coding RNA is filed under the name Mytilus galloprovincialis (Mediterranean mussel). The record is from RNAcentral. Lineage: Eukaryota; Metazoa; Mollusca; Bivalvia; Mytilida; Mytilidae.